CCUACGGGAGGCAGCAGUGGGGAAUAUUGCACAAUGGGGGAAACCCUGAUGCAGCGAAGCCGCGUGAGUGAAGAAGUAAUUCGGUAUGUAAAGCUCUAUCAGCAGGGAAGCAAAUGAUGGUUCCUGUGCAAGAAGCCUCGGCUAACUACGUGACAGCAGCCGCGGGAACACGGAGGGGGCAAGCGUUAUCCGGAUUUACGGGGGGUUAAGGGAGCGUAGACGGCAGUGCAAGUCAGGAGUGAAAGGCGUGGGCACAACCCCCGGACUGCUCUGGAAACUGGACGGCUGGAGUGGGAGAGAGGUAAGCGGAAUGCCUGGUGUAGCGGUGAAAUGCGUAGAUAUUGGGAGGAACACC
RNAcentral lists this ribosomal RNA (355 nucleotides) under uncultured bacterium. RNAcentral's name for it is "partial 16S ribosomal RNA". It matches the Rfam family "Bacterial small subunit ribosomal RNA", at positions 338 to 710 of the family's 1533-position model. The record is from RNAcentral.